This 253-nucleotide ribosomal RNA is filed under the name uncultured prokaryote. Its description in RNAcentral is "partial 16S ribosomal RNA". It matches the Rfam family "Bacterial small subunit ribosomal RNA", at positions 524 to 776 of the family's 1533-position model. The record is from RNAcentral.
UACGAAGGGGGCGAGCGUUGUUCGGAAUUACUGGGCGUAAAGGGCGCGCAGGCGGCCUUAGAAGUCAGAUGUGAAAGCCCCGGGCUCAACCUGGGAACUGCAUUUGUGACUGUAGAGCUGGAGUGCGGCAGAGGGGGAUGGAAUUCCUGGUGUAGCGGUGAAAUGCGCAGAUAUCAGGAAGAACACCCGUGGCUAAGGCGGCUCUCUAGUACGGUACUGACGCUGAGACGCGAAAGCGUGGGGAGCGAACAGG